RNAcentral lists this ribosomal RNA (554 nucleotides) under uncultured bacterium. RNAcentral's name for it is "partial 16S ribosomal RNA". It matches the Rfam family "Bacterial small subunit ribosomal RNA", at positions 355 to 900 of the family's 1533-position model. The record is from RNAcentral.
UAGGGAAUCUUCCACAAUGGACGCAAGUCUGAUGGAGCAACGCCGCGUGAGUGAAGAGGGUCUUCGGAUCGUAAAGCUCUGUUGUUGGUGAAGAAGGAUAGAGGCAGUAACUGGUCUUUAUUUGACGGUAAUCAACCAGAAAGUCACGGCUAACUACGUGCCAGCAGCCGCGGUAAUACGUAGGUGGCAAGCGUUGUCCGGAUUUAUUGGGCGUAAAGCGAGCGCAGGCGGAAUGAUAAGUCUGAUGUGAAAGCCCACGGCUCAACCGUGGAACUGCAUCGGAAACUGUCAUUCUUGAGUGCAGAAGAGGAGAGUGGAACUCCAUGUGUAGCGGUGGAAUGCGUAGAUAUAUGGAAGAACACCAGUGGUGAAGGCGGCUCUCUGGUCUGCAACUGACGCUGAGGCUCGAAAGCAUGGGUAGCGAACAGGAUUAGAUACCCUGGUAGUCCAUGCCGUAAACGAUGAGCGCUAGGUGUUGGGGACUUUCCGGUCCUCAGUGCCGCAGCAAACGCAUUAAGCGCUCCGCCUGGGGAGUACGACCGCAAGGUUGAAAC